ACGCUGGCGGCACGCCUAACACAUGCAAGUCGAACGAAGUAGCAAUACUUAGUGGCAGACGGGUGAGUAACAUGUGGGUAUCUACCCUUUGGCCUGGAAUAACACGAGGAAACUUGUGCUAAUACUGGAUAAGUCUUUACGGAGAAAGCUUUAUGCACCAUUGGAUGAGCCCGCACUUGAUUAGUUUGUUGGUGGGGUAAUGGCCUACCAAGACUUUGAUCAAUAGCUGAUUUGAGAGGAUGAUCAGCCACAUUGGGACUGAGACACGGCCCAAACUCCUACGGGAGGCAGCAGUGGGGAAUCUUGCACAAUGGAGGAAACUCUGAUGCAGCGAUGCCGCGUGAGUGAAGAAGGCCCUUGGGUUGUAAAGCUCUUUCGUCGGGGAAGAAAAUGACUGUACCCGAAUAAGAAGGUCCGGCUAACUUCGUGCCAGCAGCCGCGGUAAUACGAAGGGACCUAGCGUAGUUCGGAAUUACUGGGCUUAAAGAGUUCGUAGGUGGUUGAAAAAGUUGGUGGUGAAAUCCCAGAGCUUAACUCUGGAACUGCCAUCAAAACUUUUCAGCUAGAGUUUGAUAGAGGAAAGCAGAAUUUCUA
RNAcentral lists this ribosomal RNA (594 nucleotides) under uncultured bacterium. RNAcentral describes it as "bacterial SSU rRNA". It matches the Rfam family "Bacterial small subunit ribosomal RNA", at positions 33 to 672 of the family's 1533-position model. The record is from RNAcentral.